Molecule: small RNA, 591 nt
Filed under: uncultured Helotiales
Lineage: Eukaryota; Fungi; Ascomycota; Leotiomycetes; Helotiales
Description: eukaryotic LSU rRNA
Rfam family: 5.8S ribosomal RNA (bases 235-388)
Source: RNAcentral
CUUGGUCAUUUAGAGGAAGUAAAAGUCGUAACAAGGUUUCCGUAGGUGAACCUGCGGAAGGAUCAUUACAGAGAACAUGCCCUUUAGGGGGUAUAUCUCCCACCCUUUGUUUACAAUACCUUUGUUGCUUUGGUGGGCCCGUCUUUUAGACCACCGGCCUUGGCUGGUCUGUGCCCACCAGAGGACCAAACAAUUCCUUUUAUUAUGUUGUCUGAGUCUAAAUAAUUUUUAUAAAACUUUCAACAACGGAUCUCUUGGUUCUGGCAUCGAUGAAGAACGCAGCGAAAUGCGAUAAGUAAUGUGAAUUGCAGAAUUCAGUGAAUCAUCGAAUCUUUGAACGCACAUUGCACCCUCUGGUAUUCCAGGGGGUAUGCCUGUUCGAGCGUCAUUACAACCCUCAAGCACUGCUUGGUAUUGGAUGUCACCGUUGGUGUAUCUCAAAAGUAUUAGCAGUAACAUUCAGCUUCUAGCGUAGUAAAUUUCUAGCUUUGGAGCUAAGUGUCUAAUUGUUAGAACCUCUAAUUUAUCAAAGGUUGACCUCGGAUCAGGUAGGGAUACCCGCUGAACUUAAGCAUAUCAAUAAGCGGAGGA